GAUGAACGCUGGCGGCGUGCCUAAUACAUGCAAGUCGAGCGAACGGACGAGAAGCUUGCUUCUCUGAUGUUAGCGGCGGACGGGUGAGUAACACGUGGAUAACCUACCUAUAAGACUGGGAUAACUUCGGGAAACCGGAGCUAAUACCGGAUGAUAUUUUGAACCGCAUGGUUCAAAAGUGAAAGACGGUCUUGCUGUCACUUAUAGAUGGAUCCGCGCUGCAUUAGCUAGUUGGUAAGGUAACGGCUUACCAAGGCAACGAUGCAUAGCCGACCUGAGAGGGUGAUCGGCCACACGGGAACUGAGACACGGUCCAGACUCCUACGGGAGGCAGCAGUAGGGAAUCUUCCGCAAAGGGCGAAAGCCUGACGGAGCAACGCCGCGUGAGUGAUGAAGGUCUUCGGAUCGUAAAACUCUGUUAUUAGGGAAGAACAUAUGUGUAAGUAACUGUGCACAUCUUGACGGUACCUAAUCAGAAAGCCAGGGCUAACUACGUG
RNAcentral lists this ribosomal RNA (497 nucleotides) under uncultured bacterium. RNAcentral's name for it is "partial 16S ribosomal RNA". It matches the Rfam family "Bacterial small subunit ribosomal RNA", at positions 28 to 507 of the family's 1533-position model. The record is from RNAcentral.